Molecule: ribosomal RNA, 497 nt
Filed under: uncultured bacterium
Lineage: Bacteria
Description: partial 16S ribosomal RNA
Rfam family: Bacterial small subunit ribosomal RNA
Source: RNAcentral
AUUGAACGCUGGCGGCAGGCCUAAUACAUGCAAGUCGAGCGAAUAAACGAGGCUUUUUCCUCUCUUACGUUGCCGACGGACGGGUAAGUCACACGUAUCUAACCUAUCGUGAGUACUAGGGUAACUAAAUGAACCCUAAGAUAGCACCCGUCAUGAGAUUGAACGUCAUGGUUCAUCAGUCCUCAAGCUUUUUGCUGUCACUUAUUCGUAUAACCGGGCCGCAUUAGCUAGGUGGUAAGGUAACGGCUGACCAAGGCAACUAUGAGUAGCCGACCUGAGAGGGUGAGCGGUCACACUGGAACUGAGACACGGUCCAGACUCCUACGGGAGGCAGCAGUAGGGAAUAUUCCGCAAUGGGCGAAAGCCUGAUGGAGCAAUGCCGCGUGAGUGAUGAAGGUCUUCGGAUUGUAAAACUCUGUUAUUUGGGAAGAACAAAUGUGUAAGUAUACAUGCACGUCUUGACGGUACCUACAGAGAAAGCCACGGCUAACUACGUG